AAAAAAAAAAAAAUCUAUGUGAAAAAUAUUACAUAUAAAUAAAAAUUUUAUGAUUUGAAAAGUUUAUUUUAAAUUCGUUUUACAUAUAAAUUUUAGUAUGAAUUUAUAAUUAUUUUAAUAAUAAUUAUUAUAAAAUAAUAGUAAUUAAAAUUAAAAAUUUAAGAAAUUAAGAUUUAGUGAUAUUUUAAUUAUUAACAAAUUUUGUGCCAGCAGUUGCGGUUAUACAAAAAAUAAUUUAAAUUUUAUCAGUAUAUAAUUAAUAAUUAUUUAAUUAAAUAAAAUAUUAGAUUAUUAGGUAAAAUUUUAUUUUAAUAAAAAUUUAUAUAAAUUUUAUGAUUUAAAAAAUUUUAUUAAAAACUAGGAUUAGAUACCCUAUUAUUAAAAAUUAAAUUUAUAAUGCUAAAAUAGUAAAUAAUAAUUUAUUGAAAUUUAAAUAAUUUGGCGGUAUUUUAGUAAAUUUAGAGGAAUCUGUUUAAUAAUUGAUAAACCACGAAUAAAUUUACUUAAUUUAUAAUUUUGUAUAUCGUUGUUAAAAAAAUAUUUUUUUAUAAUAAUAAUAUUUAAAAAUUUAAAUAAAAAAUUAAUUCAGAUCAAGAUGCAGAUUAUAAUUAAGAAUAUAAUGGAUUACAAUAAAUAUAAUUAAUAUAUAUAUAUAUAUAUACAUAUUUAAAUGAAUAAUAUUUUAAAAAAAAUAUUUGAAGGUGGAUUUAAAUGUAAUUUUAUUUAAUUUAAUAAAAUGAUUAAAUAUUAAAAUAUGUACAUAUUGCCCGUCGCUUUCAUAAAUAAAUUGAAAUAAGUCGUAACAAAGUAGAGGUACUGGAAAGUGUUUCUAGAAAGAU
RNAcentral lists this ribosomal RNA (839 nucleotides) under Bhutanitis thaidina. Its description in RNAcentral is "12S ribosomal RNA". Lineage: Eukaryota; Metazoa; Arthropoda; Insecta; Lepidoptera; Papilionidae. The record is from RNAcentral.